ACGUGGGGUAAAUCUUCCCCUUUCCGGCCGGGGGGGAGUAAACCUUUCCCGAAAAGGAGGGCUAAUACCGCAUAAGACCACGGCUCAAAGGGGCUGAGGUUAAAGCAGGCCUCUAUAUAUAAGCUUGCACCAAAGGAUGAGCCCGCGGCCCAUCAGCUAGUUGGUAGGGUAACGGCUUACCAAGGCUAAGACGGGUAGCUGGUCUGAGAGGAUGAUCAGCCACACUGGAACUGAGACACGGUCCAG
This 246-nucleotide ribosomal RNA is filed under the name uncultured bacterium. Its description in RNAcentral is "partial 16S ribosomal RNA". It matches the Rfam family "Bacterial small subunit ribosomal RNA", at positions 106 to 334 of the family's 1533-position model. The record is from RNAcentral.